This 499-nucleotide ribosomal RNA is filed under the name uncultured bacterium. Its description in RNAcentral is "bacterial SSU rRNA". It matches the Rfam family "Bacterial small subunit ribosomal RNA", at positions 21 to 507 of the family's 1533-position model. The record is from RNAcentral.
GGCUCAGGAUGAACGCUAGCGGCAGGCUUAACACAUGCAAGUCGAGGGGCAGCAUGACACGGAGAUUCGUCGAAGUGUUGAUGGCGACCGGCGCAAGGGUGCGUAACGCGUGAGCAACUUGCCCGUUUCUGGGGAAUAACCGGUGGAAACGCCGACUAAUACCCCAUAGUAUGACGAAGAGGCAUCUUUUUGUUAUUAAAGAACUUCGGAAACGGAUAGGCUCGCGUGACAUUAGCUAGACGGCGGGGUAACGGCCCACCGUGGCGACGAUGUCUAGGGGUUCUGAGAGGAAGGUCCCCCACACUGGAACUGAGACACGGUCCAGACUCCUACGGGAGGCAGCAGUGAGGAAUAUUGGUCAAUGGUCUGACGACUGAACCAGCCAUGCCGCGUGAAGGUCACGGCCCUAUGGGUCUUAAACUUCUUUUGCAAGGGAGCAAUAAGCCUCACGUGUGGGGCGAUGAGAGUACCUUGCGAAUAAGCAUCGGCUAACUCCAUG